Molecule: long non-coding RNA, 2840 nt
Organism: Oryzias javanicus (javanese ricefish)
Lineage: Eukaryota; Metazoa; Chordata; Actinopteri; Beloniformes; Adrianichthyidae
Source: Ensembl
AAAAAUCCUGUAACUAUUUCUCCUUUUACCCAAAUGGUUUUGGUUCAUUCUCAUAACCGGACUCUCGUCGUCUCGAUCUGUUUGUCCUGCAGAGAAGUUCUCCCAGCAGACGAGCAGAAAGAGGAGACGGAGGAUUCUGCCGUCAAAGACCCAGGUUUGGAAAGCAGAACACUUCGGGGUUUCUCUGUAAAACACACAAUCUUAAAUAGAUUUGAUUCUAUAUCUAGAACCAGAAAAGGCGUCAGACCCUGAUCCACAGCCAGAACCUGAACCAGAACCAGAACCACAGAUCCCAAACCAGGAAGACGCUCCCGAAGCUCCGCCCGUGACCCAGCAGCCGCAGAGAGCCGCAGACGCUGCGGUCGCCAACACAGACAAAGCUGAUGAAAAGGAAGCUGAGGCUGCUGGUGACGACUGUGGCGUUCCCGUCAGCUGCGAUGCAGUAAAGAGCUGCCUGAUGCGCUUUCCUCUCACCUCUGAAUGCUUCGGCAACAUCAACGCAUUCUUCAAAGAGAACGGCAUCUCCCCCCCCAAAAUACCCCCCAUGCCCAAACUGCCCACCCAGCUGUCCGAGGUAACCGCGUUCCUGCCCUCGCUGCCCCCCGAGCUCCGCCAAGAGUUGUCCCAGAUCAGACUGACGCAGGUCCCCCGGAGCGUCGCCCAGACUCUGACCGAGCUGCUGCCCAAAGGUCCGGACGGAUCCGGGGGGCCCGGCCUGUCCGACCUGUCCCAGAGGCUGUCGGAUCUCCCGGAGAAGCUCUCCCGGUUCCCCGGCCGGACGCAGCAGUACUUUGUGAACGUCCGGAACCGCCUCAACAGCCUUCUGCCGCAAGAUGCCUAAGAAACCCAGAGACCAGAACCAGCAGGACUUAGAACUGGACCGGCUGGUGCGGUCCUCCCCCCUGCCCCCCCCUCAUCAUCCUCAGCUGCGCUCCCGCUCCCCGUCUCCAUCCUCGCCUCACGGUAGCACCCUGGAGUUGCCUAACGUGCCUUCCUAUCCACGCCUCCCGCCCAUCGCCAGCUCGCCGUCGAAGCGCCCGAGCUCCCCGCCGCGGCAGCUGUCCGGCCUCUCAAACCCCGCCUUCUUCAUCGAGGAUGACUCCCAUUGUAACACUGCAGAGAGUGUCCGCCCCGCCGUGAACGUCGAGGACGUUGACCACGAGAAAGCAGGAGGAGGCGAGGAGAGGAUCGACGCCUCCCAGACUCCCGCCCUGCAGGACCCCAAACUCACCACCCUCACCGUCCCCGUGAACCCCUCCGGGGGUCGGCAGAGGUGAGCAGCGGUGGCGUCGGGGAACCAGCCGCUUCCGGGGGAUCUGUGGGGAGGAGAGGGGUCGUUUGAAUCCACAAACACCACCAUGCUGGAGUUUGGGAGGAUUUCUGUCCCAGGCAGGACCGGGUGGUCGCAAACGUGGGAGAAAAAUGAAAAAGUCAAAUCGAAGUAAACGUGAAGAGAUCCUUUUGAAUGAAAGUGUUGAGAUAAAUGUUGUUUGGUGGUUCUUCUUCUUCUCAGUCAAAGGACAUCUGACCUCCGUCUUCAUCUGGUUCCACAAGCGUUCUGAUGUGUUUCUCUCUUCUCAUGCUUUACAGUAAAGGAGACAAAGAGUAAGGAGACUGCAUGAGUGCUGUCAGUUCUGUCUUCUGUCAUUCUAGAGAUGCACGUCUGCAUAGCAUGCAUGCAUUCAUGGCAAUAAACUUCACAAACACAGGAAACAUCUUCACUUUUUGCAGCCGCGUCGAAAAAUCAAAUAAAUGAUUCUCAUAAACUACAAAAAUACAAGAGAUUCUAUUAUAAAAAGAUAAAACCGUCACCUGAAAACCUCUUUUCUGUUGCUGUCAUGCUGCUCCAUCUCUUUCUCAUCUUUUAGUUUUGUCUGUUUCGUUCAGUCCUGCACAAACUCUUUAAGUUCAACUUGAAAUAUAGAUUCUUGUUUGUUUGUUUGUUUGUUUGUUUUGGAUGCUAUAUUCUGUUUAAAGAGCUGCCAAAAAAAUGUGCAAAAACUCCCCAAAUCAUCCGAUCCUGUCAAUGCAGAACAUGCAGUGUUGCAUGAAGUGAUGUGAAGUUUUUUUUAUUUUUGUGCUUGUUUUGUUUCUCUCUGUUUUAAUGUUGUUCUCUUUUAUUUGGCUUUGUGCUUUUGGCUGCUCUGUGAUUGUUUACACGUCAUAUUUUAGCAAAAGUCAAUAAAAAAAACUGCAUCCCAGCCUUUGUGGUUUGUGUGUCUGCUGCCUGGUUGCUUCUUUUUGUUGUCUGAAUUGACGUGGUGUUUUUCACACGAACCCUCAUCCGGCCGCUCACGACGGGGUGGGAGGAGUCGCAGGAGUAUCUGGACAAAGAUGUAAGAACCCCCCCAUCACGGGUCUGCACUCACUUCUCCUAAAAACACCUGGUGGGGUUGGGCUCGGAGGCCGUGAUGCUGUGGUGUCUGCUCCAACAGCAAGCUGCUCCAUUCUCAAAGUGAGGAUGAAGACGCAGAGGUGAGCGUCCCCGUGAGGGCGUGGCCCAGCCAGUCCAGCCUGCACAGCACCGACGACGUGUGAGCAUGGCGUGCGCGGUUAGGGACCGGGGAAGUCCGGCCGGGCUCGCCUCGCUGACGUGGAACUCUGUCUCCAAGCCUGAAGGAGCGUCCGUCCUCCUCCGCCAGCCAGACCAGCGCCAUGGUGAACGAGCGUCUGCAGGAGCUGGUGAGGAUGUUCAAAGAGAGGACGGAGAAGGCCAAGGAGAAGCUCAUCGACGAAUUUCCGCUGCACGUGUUUACAUCCGAAGCCUUCUAAUGACUGAAAAAGGCCAAAGAGAAGCUCUCGACCCCUGAUGAUUUCUUUCGAGGACAGAGAAGAGAGGA